GCUUUCAUGGCAUAGUGGUUUGAGUGUUGGAUUAUGACUCUGGAAAUUAGGGUUCAAAUCCCUGCUGAGAUA
RNAcentral lists this transfer RNA (72 nucleotides) under Phrynosoma platyrhinos (Desert horned lizard). RNAcentral describes it as "tRNA-OTHER". The record is from RNAcentral. Lineage: Eukaryota; Metazoa; Chordata; Lepidosauria; Squamata; Phrynosomatidae.